Molecule: ribosomal RNA, 783 nt
Filed under: Triticum aestivum (bread wheat)
Lineage: Eukaryota; Viridiplantae; Streptophyta; Magnoliopsida; Poales; Poaceae
Description: partial small subunit ribosomal RNA
Source: RNAcentral
AUGGCAGCAAUGGAGGCAGGCAAUGCUGCCGCCCGCCCGCAGGUGGUGCGCUGCUGCAGUGGCGCGGUGGCGUACGGGUACGACGACGAGUACGACCACGGCAUGGAUUACGCACCCCCGCCGCCGGCGAGCGUGGGGGCAAGGCCCGAUCAGUACGUGUACGGUGAGUACGACGAGGACUACAAGGUGUUUCCUGCGCCUGGUCCGGGCACUGUGAUCGAGUCCACCGGCCAUGGCUACACGAUCGUGCCAAUGGAGACUACGUGUGACGGCAAUGGCGCGGUGUCAUAUGGGUAUGCCGACGAGUACGACCACGGCAUGGAUCACACACCCCCGCCGCCGGCGAGUGGCGUGGCGGCGAGGCCCGAUCAGUACGUGAGGCCCAACCAGUACAUGUACGAUGAGUACGAGGAGGACUACAAGGUGUUUCCUGCGCCUGGUCCGGGCACUGUGAUCGAGUCCACCGGGCAUGGCUACAUAAUCGUGCCGAUGAAGGCGACUUGUGACGGCAAUAGUGUGGUGCCGCCGGUCUACGAUGAUCGUGCGGAUGGUCAGUACGUGAGGCCCAAUCAGUACGUCUACGGUGAGUACGACGAGGACUACAAGGUGUUUCCUGCGCCCGGUCCGGGCGCUGUGAUCGAGUCCACCGGCCAUGGCUACAUGAUCGUGCCAAUGGAGACUACCUGCGACGGCAAUGGUGCGGUGCCGCCGGUCUACGAUGAUCUGUUCAAGUGUAUUGCGAGGCUCGCGGCCGUUAUGUCUAGAAUCUCCAAAGCUACUUAA